Molecule: ribosomal RNA, 365 nt
Filed under: uncultured bacterium
Lineage: Bacteria
Description: bacterial SSU rRNA
Rfam family: Bacterial small subunit ribosomal RNA
Source: RNAcentral
UGAGAAGUAAGACUAACUACCAUGAUACUCCCACGGAAGGCAUCCGAAGUGGGAAUUAAAGUAUUUUAUCCGGGUGAUGGAGUGGGGAUGCGUCUGAUUAGCUUGUUGGCGGGUAACGGCCCACCAAGGCAACGAUCAGUAGGGGUUCUGAGAGGAAGGUCCCCCACAUUGGAACUGAGACACGGUCCAAACUCCUACGGGAGGCAGCAGUGAGGAAUAUUGGUCAAUGGGCGAGAGCCUGAACCAGCCAAGUAGCGUGCAGGACGACGGCCCUAUGGGUUGUAAACUGCUUUUAUAAGGGAAUAAAGUGAGUCUCGUGAGACUUUUUGCAUGUACCUUAUGAAUAAGGACCGGCUAAUUCCGUG